GCAAACACAGAAUCUCACAGCUGCACAGAAGAUCUGACUUCAGAGCCACGUAAUAUUUAACUCAUAUACAUUUGUGAUUGUAAUAUUUCUCACUUGUGUUGUUGAAAACAUGGAUCUUGCUUUUCUUCCACAUGUGAAACACGUCUGUGUUGAAUCCACAGCUGAAGUGUUAAAUCACGAUGAUGUGCCUGAAUAACUUCUCAUAAAACCGCAAAAUGUUGUUUUUUAUGAUGAAACCAAAGAACCAUAAAAUGUUAAUUAGUUAACUUUUUAAAAUUUUUGAUUGAUUGAUACAAUCAUUAUUGUGUCGUGCACAAAUAAUUUUCCCAGUCUGAAGAUGUUAUGAUCAGAGGAGAGGACAAACACAGAAACCGUCCUGACGUUUGUUCCGGACUUUAGAGUCAUGAGAGUUAAACAGCCGUCCCGUCGUUCUGGAAUCGUCCGUGCCACAAAAUGUUUCUGGAUGUUGAACAUUUCACUCAAGGCAUUAACUCUGAACUCGUCAUGAUACAGAAGGAAAUGUGAUUCAUUGUCAACAUUUCCUAAUUCACAUAAUUCACACAGGCUGUUGUCCUCCUGGCUAUUUUUAAAUGUUCCCUCUUGAGGGUUGAGAGGAAAGAUUCCUUUUCUCAGCUGUGUACCAGAAACCUUCAACCUCUGUAUAAGUUGGCCAUAAAAUCCUCUUCAGGACCAUCCGAAGGUUUAAUUUGAAUAUAUGUCAGUAACUUUGGUUGGUUUGGUUUCAGUAACAUGUCAUUCAACCAUUUUUCUUCAACGCUCCUCCGAUUAUGCUCAUGUUACAAAAUAAACUGUUAGGAUCCAGAUAUUGUACCUCAGCCUGAGACUGUGGAGACGGUGUCUGUGUUCGGACUUUGUCACACGUUUUGUGUCUUUGUGCGUCUUCGUGUCUUCUCAGGAACAACCAGUACCAGGAGAGGAAGCUGGCAGACGACACUCCACCUUUACCUCCUCGCACACAGUUUCUCACUGCAGAGGCCCAAAGUUAUGAGAACCUGGCUGAGGUACCCGACAGCGAGGAGAGUACGCCUGACUACGAACAGGUGAAGGACGACUUCAGACAGGAUGUGGGCGACUACGAGCAGGCUACGCCCGACUACGAGCAGGCUACGCCCGACUACGAGCAGGCUACGCCCGACUACGAGCAGGCUACGCCCGACUACGAGCAGGACGUAGGCGACUACGAGCAGGCUACGCCCGACUACGAGCAGGACGUAGGCGACUACGAGCAGGCUACGCCCGACUACGAGCAGGCUACGCCCGACUACGAGCAGGCUACGCCCGACUAUGAGCAGGACGUGGCAGACUAUGUGAAGGUGGAGGAGGAGGAAAAGAUUGUCCCUCCUCCUCCACUGUACCAGGAUCCUGAUCCAGCAGCAGACAACACCUCAGAGGACUACGACGACAUCGAUGAGCUCGGAGAUGAAGAUGAAGGCCAGGAUGAAGAUGAAGACUACGAUGAUGUGGGAUAAGAGCAGCAGAGACAUGAAGGGAACUUUACCACUGAUUCACUUCAGACUUUUAUAUUCAUGAGGCAGAAUACAGCAGAUGAUGGUCUGUUUCAUGAGAACAGCAGCUGGAAGAAGAGGACAGACAGCAGCAGUGACGAGGAAGGUUUGAUCUUCAUCAUAAUAACUACAGAGUUCACAGUCUGAACGUGACGAGGUCGGACCGAACAACCAACCAGCUGUUAUUUGACUCAUUAUAACUGAUCAGACAGCAGCGGUGGUCUUUCAGAAUAAAAUUAUUCUUUGAUUGUUUUUAAUUUAAAACUUGAUUUGUUUAUCUGCAUUUAAUAUAAAAGUGAAAUCCUUACAUACUUUGAUCUUCACACAGAGAUUAAUUAUACUGUUCUGUAUGUGUUGAUAUGAAGCUGCUGAGUCAGGAGCUGAUUAGCUUAGCUUUGCAUAAAGACUUGAAGCAGGGGGAAACUGCUAGCCUGGCUCCAUCCACCACUUGUUGUCUUAUUUGUUUAUUCCAUACACAAACAGAAAUAUAAAAGCUGAUUUUUUUAAACUUUGAAAUUCAUAUAUUUUUAGUAUUUUUUGAAUAUUUCAAAAUAUUGUUUAUCUUAUUGUCAUCAGGUCACAUGACUGAACUAUUAAACCAUGAGUGAGCCUCUCUGACAAGUUGCUUCUCUUUCAUCUGUGCACUUUGAUUCACAGGCUGUCACCUCAGCAACAGUGUGCGUUCAUCCGCGGCUGAAAGUAGUCCCCUGCCAAACGCAGCGUUACCUCCUCUUUCAGUAAAAACACCAUUUCAGCUGAUUGUCACAAGACGUUUAUAGGAAUUUUAUUUUAUUUUUAUGACACAGUUUUAAAGAUUUACAUGAGAGGCACAGACAGGGAGGGAAGUGACAGAGUGAUGCAUCAUGGGAACAAUAUGGAAUAUCACUGAGGCUGCUGAAGAUCUGUCUUUAACAUUUCAGAUGUCUGAAGGCCUCCUGCAGGUCGCUGUGAGUCUGUAGGCAAUUAACUUUAUUUACAUCAAUUAAUACAUAAAAAACAAUAUGCAACUCCAUAAAUGUUAAAUCUGAAGAUAAAAGUAGCAAUAGUAAAAACAAUGUGCCAUCUCUAAAAUGAUUAAAAAAUGUUUUAAGUAUUUUUUUGGCCUUUCAUGGCUUUAUUGAUAGUACAGCUGAAGAGGGUGACAGGGAACAGGGGGAGAGAGCGGAGGAGUGACACGCAGCAAAGGGACCCGGGCCAGGAGCCGAACCCAGGUCCACUGCAGAGCCUCGGCACAUGGGACGCUGCUCUACCAACUGAGCUGAACGGCGCCCCUUAACAUUUUUAAAAGUGUAAUUUUUGGAGCUCUCUGUUUUUCUACCCUCAGUUGAUGACAUGUUCUCCUCUCCUCUUGGAUUAGUGUUAGGGUACUGUUACUGUUUCGUCUUCAACCUCUUUUGUUUCCUUCAGUUUCUUCAGAUUAUUUUCAUUUUCUCAGCAGUUGUUGAGUCUGUUGAAGACCUCAUCAGAGCUGUUUGUGUAUUAAAGAUGAUUAAUGACGACAUUGUCUCAGUUUAUUGCACAGAUCACAUUUGGAAAGACACUUAAAUAAAAAGGUUGGUUGGUUAGAAAGUCGCAGCAUGUGUUCAUGACUGACUCCAGAGUUAAAGAAUGAGCUCGUUGUCCACUGAAACCAGACUUUCAGCAUCUUUCCACUGUUUGGCAGAAAUAUUGAGGAAAAGUCAGCAGAAGAGCUGAUGUGGUUCAGCUACAGUCAGAAAACCAAACUGACUUCAUUUCCUCAUCAUGUCUGACGCAUUUACACUCAAAGACGUGUAACAAAACCAGAUCAGACUCACACCGCUGCUGAAGUUCUGCACUCAUACCGCAGCAACAGUAACAGUAUCUAUCGUUUGUCCUGCUGCAUGAAAGUCAGAGCGGCAUGUUCCUGUUGGAGCCACUCAUAUGGAGGCACAUCAUAUACAGGUAGUCCACUGGUUCAGAACAUACGGGUCAGGCCCCCCCACGGGGUCAACAGAUCAAUCUGAGGGGUCGUCACAUGAUUCAUGGGAGAGGAGAGGAGGGCAGAAAGUUCUGACCCACAACAUCUGAUCUUUGACUUUCAGUGAAAUAUUUCAUUCUUUGAGCCUCAAACACUAUUUUGAUAAAAUUUGGAAGGAAUGUUCAUCUUUUAAAACUGCAGACCACCGUUUUGAUCCUGAACAAUGUGCAUUCAGUCAUCUUAACUCAUCUCUGUUCAGACUUUAAUAAAUGCAGUGGAGUAACUUAGAAGUAUAAAGUAACACAAAUGGAAAUACACGAGGAAAGUGUACUUGAUUAAAUUAUGACUUUGUUCUGUCCUUAAUAGUUUUCUUUGGUUUGUCAGUUUCAAUUAAACUUAAUUUACAAAUGUGAAUACAGUUUUCUUUCACUGGAUUGUUUUUGAAUGGACUAUAGUCAUUUGAACAGAAGGUCUUCAUCCAUCCAUCACCCAUUUCCUUAGGGUUUAUCACACGGGUUGUUGCAGCGCCCCCUGGUGGCAGCACAGUCCUCUGUCAGCGGGUCUGUGUCAGGUCGGUCACACUCGGUCCAGAUGUCAGAGUGCAGACGGGACAAACGUGUACGAACAGUCAUGUGUAGUGUUUGUGGCUCCUGAGCAGACGCCGCUGUGACCUACAUACACGUCCUACUGCUC
Sparus aurata (gilthead seabream) is the source of this 4158-nucleotide long non-coding RNA. The record is from Ensembl. NCBI's taxonomy places the organism in Eukaryota, Metazoa, Chordata, Actinopteri, Spariformes, Sparidae.